RNAcentral lists this ribosomal RNA (255 nucleotides) under uncultured bacterium. Its description in RNAcentral is "partial 16S ribosomal RNA". It matches the Rfam family "Bacterial small subunit ribosomal RNA", at positions 524 to 776 of the family's 1533-position model. The record is from RNAcentral.
UACAGGGGGUGCAAACGUUGCUCGGAAUCAUUGGGCGUAAAGCGCACGUAGGCGGUUCGUUAUGUCGGAUGUGAAAGCCCUUGGCUUAACCGAGGAAGUGCAUCCGAAACUGGCGAGCUAGAGUACUAAAGAGGAUCGCGGAAUUCCCGGUGUAGAGGUGAAAUUCGUAGAUAGUACGGGAGGAACACCGGUGGCGAAGGCGGCGAUCUGGGUAGAUACUGACGCUGAGGUGCGAAAGCGUGGGGAGCAAACAGG